This 570-nucleotide ribosomal RNA is filed under the name ascomycete sp. YP1-BE-D-1. RNAcentral's name for it is "eukaryotic LSU rRNA". It matches the Rfam family "Eukaryotic large subunit ribosomal RNA", at positions 40 to 626 of the family's 3401-position model. The record is from RNAcentral. RNAcentral also lists the same sequence under 1 other name. Lineage: Eukaryota; Fungi; Ascomycota.
AUAUCAAUAAGCGGAGGAAAAGAAACCAACAGGGAUUGCCUCAGUAACGGCGAGUGAAGCGGCAAAAGCUCAAAUUUGAAAUCUAGUACCUUCGGUGCUCGAGUUGUAAUUUGAAGAUAGUUUUCUGGUGCUGGCCCUUGUCUAUGUUCCUUGGAACAGGACGUCAUAGAGGGUGAGAAUCCCGUCUGAUGGGGUGUCCAGUGCUUUGUAGAUUUCUAUCGAAGAGUCGAGUUGUUUGGGAAUGCAGCUCUAAGUGGGUGGUAAAUUCCAUCUAAAGCUAAAUACUGGCGAGAGACCGAUAGCGAACAAGUACAGUGAUGGAAAGAUGAAAAGAACUUUGAAAAGAGAGUGAAAAAGUACGUGAAAUUGUUGAAAGGGAAGGAUAUUGGAUCAGACUUGGUGUUUUGUGAUUAUCUUCCCUUCUUGGGUUGUGCACUCGCAUUUCACUGGGCCAGCAUCGGUUCGGAUGGCAAGAUAAUGGCUUGGGAACGUGGCACCCCUCGGGGUGUGUUAUAGCCCUUGUUGAUGUUGCCUAUCUGGACCGAGGACUGCGGCUUCUGCCUAGGAUGC